GUGCUAUACUGCAGUCGAGCGACAGAUAAGGAGCUUGCUCCUUUGACGUUAGCGGCGGACGGGUGAGUAACACGUGGAUAACCUACCUAUAAGACUGGGAUAACUUCGGGAAACCGGAGCUAAUACCGGAUAACAUAUUGAACCGCAUGGUUCAAUAGUGAAAGGCGGCUUUGCUGUCACUUAUAGAUGGAUCCGCGCCGUAUUAGCUAGUUGGUAAGGUAACGGCUUACCAAGGCAACGAUACGUAGCCGACCUGAGAGGGUGAUCGGCCACACUGGAACUGAGACACGGUCCAGACUCCUACGGGAGGCAGCAGUAGGGAAUCUUCCGCAAUGGGCGAAAGCCUGACGGAGCAACGCCGCGUGAGUGAUGAAGGUCUUCGGAUCGUAAAACUCUGUUAUCAGGGAAGAACAAAUGUGUAAGUAACUGUGCACAUCUUGACGGUACCUGAUCAGAAAGCCACGGCUAACUACGUGCCAGCAGCCGCGGUAAUACGUAGGUGGCAAGCGUUAUCCGGAAUUAUUGGGCGUAAAGCGCGCGUAGGCGGUUUUUUAAGUCUGAUGUGAAAGCCCACGGCUCAACCGUGGAGGGUCAUUGGAAACUGGAAAACUUGAGUGCAGAAGAGGAAAGUGGAAUUCCAUGUGUAGCGGUGAAAUGCGCAGAGAUAUGGAGGAACACCAGUGGCGAAGGCGACUUUCUGGUCUGUAACUGACGCUGAUGUGCGAAAGCGUGGGGAUCAAACAGGAUUAGAUACCCUGGUAGUCCACGCCGUAAACGAUGAGUGCUAAGUGUUAGGGGGUUUCCGCCCCUUAGUGCUGCAGCUAACGCAUUAAGCACUCCGCCUGGGGAGUACGACCGCAAGGUGA
Molecule: ribosomal RNA, 866 nt
Filed under: Staphylococcus sp. 29-6pA
Lineage: Bacteria; Bacillati; Bacillota; Bacilli; Caryophanales; Staphylococcaceae
Description: bacterial SSU rRNA
Rfam family: Bacterial small subunit ribosomal RNA
Source: RNAcentral